Molecule: ribosomal RNA, 259 nt
Filed under: uncultured prokaryote
Description: partial 16S ribosomal RNA
Rfam family: Bacterial small subunit ribosomal RNA
Source: RNAcentral
UACGUAGGUGGCAAGCGUUAUCCGGAAUUAUUGGGCGUAAAGAGCGCGCAGGUGGUUGAUUAAGUCUGAUGUGAAAGCCCACGGCUUAACCGUGGAGGGUCAUUGGAAACUGGUCGACUUGAGUGCAGAAGAGGGAAGUGGAAUUCCAUGUGUAGCGGUGAAAUGCGCAGAUAUCAGGAGGAACACCAGCGGCGAAGGCGGCGCUCUGGGCCGGAACUGACGCUGAGGAGCGAAAGCGUGGGUAGCAAACAGGAUUAGA